GACGAACGCGGCGGCGUGCCUAAUACAUGCAAGUAGAACGCUGAAGGAGGAGCUUGCUUCUCUGGAUGAGUUGCGAACGGGUGAGUAACGCGUAGGUAACCUGCCUGGUAGCGGGGGAUAACUAUUGGAAACGAUAGCUAAUACCGCAUAAGAGUAGAUGUUGCAUGACAUUUGCUUAAAAGGUGCAAUUGCAUCACUACCAGAUGGACCUGCGUUGUAUUAGCUAGUUGGUGAGGUAACGGCUCACCAAGGCGACGAUACAUAGCCGACCUGAGAGGGUGAUCGGCCACACUGGGACUGAGACACGGCCCAGACUCCUACGGGAGGCAGCAGUAGGGAAUCUUCGGCAAUGGACGGAAGUCUGACCGAGCAACGCCGCGUGAGUGAAGAAGGUUUUCGGAUCGUAAAGCUCUGUUGUAAGAGAAGAAACGAGUGUGAGAGUGGAAAG
Molecule: ribosomal RNA, 448 nt
Filed under: Streptococcus mitis
Lineage: Bacteria; Bacillati; Bacillota; Bacilli; Lactobacillales; Streptococcaceae
Description: bacterial SSU rRNA
Rfam family: Bacterial small subunit ribosomal RNA
Source: RNAcentral